Molecule: ribosomal RNA, 86 nt
Filed under: Monopterus albus (swamp eel)
Lineage: Eukaryota; Metazoa; Chordata; Actinopteri; Synbranchiformes; Synbranchidae
Source: RNAcentral
UCCUACAGCUACACAGCUCUGGGUACUGCUGUUCUUGGUCAAUACCUGGAUGGGGGACUACCUGGAAACACCAGGUGCUGUAAGCU